UUGAGCCAAUGGCUUGAUAGGCAGAUGUAGAAGAAAGGAAAGAGAUUUAAAAAUAAUCUGCUAGCAAUUGAGACUCACAGGCCUCUCUAUUCAUUAUCAGAACCAAGAACAACUCAGGCAAAAGAAGCAGUCAUUAAGAAUAAAAAAUUUGCACACGAAAGAAACGAGAGAAAGCCAUGUUUAUUCCAAGCAG
Molecule: long non-coding RNA, 193 nt
Organism: Hevea brasiliensis (rubber tree)
Lineage: Eukaryota; Viridiplantae; Streptophyta; Magnoliopsida; Malpighiales; Euphorbiaceae
Exons: 3
Source: RefSeq, a predicted model, not a curated record